ACUGGCGUUUGGCAGAUGUUAGCCUAAGCAUUAUUGAUCAAACACAAGGAGAGUGGUAGAACAUACGGAUGAUGAAACACUUUUUGGCAAUUUGACAAAUGCACUGCUUCUUUGGGUUGGGUUGUUCUUCCAUACAUGAUAUCUAUACACACCCACACCUGAAGACAGGAUGGCAAUAAGAGACCCAACGUGGGACAACUGGAUGGCGUUGUCUCAAUGCAUGAGAUGAUGAUAAAGUGCAAAGUCAGCCUGGACAGCAGUAUUUUAAAAUAAAAGGCCUAUUUAUUUCCCUUGUUAAAUGGA
Passer domesticus (house sparrow) is the source of this 303-nucleotide long non-coding RNA. RefSeq lists it as uncharacterized. The transcript has 2 exons. The record is from RefSeq and is a predicted model, not a curated record. Lineage: Eukaryota; Metazoa; Chordata; Aves; Passeriformes; Passeridae.